AGUGAACGCUGGCGGCGUGCUUAACACAUGCAAGUCGAACGAGAACGGGUUAUAGCUUGCUAUAAUUGUCAGCUAAGUGGCGCACGGGUGAGUAAUGUAUAGGUAAUAUGCCUCUUACUAAGGGAUAACAAAUGGAAACGUUUGCUAAUACCUUAUACUCCUUAUUAACAGAAGUUAAUAAGGGAAAGAGUUAUUGGUAAGAGAGUAGCCUGUAUUGUAUCAGUUAGUUGGUGGGGUAAUGGCUUACCAAGACUAUGACACAUAACUGGUUUGAGAGGGUGAUCAGUCACACUGGAACUGAGACACGGUCCAGACUCCUACGGGAGGCAGCAGUGGGGAAUAUUGCACAAUGGACGAAAGUCUGAUGCAGCAACGCCGCGUGGAGGAUGACACAUUUCGGUGCGUAAACUCCUUUUAUAUGAGAAGAUAAUGACGGUAUUAUAUGAAUAAGCACCGGCUAACUCCGUGCCAGCCGCCGCGGUAA
This 484-nucleotide ribosomal RNA is filed under the name uncultured bacterium. RNAcentral's name for it is "partial 16S ribosomal RNA". It matches the Rfam family "Bacterial small subunit ribosomal RNA", at positions 29 to 523 of the family's 1533-position model. The record is from RNAcentral.